RNAcentral lists this long non-coding RNA (806 nucleotides) under Cicer arietinum (chickpea). Its description in RNAcentral is "long non-coding RNA (CARI_LNC002696)". Lineage: Eukaryota; Viridiplantae; Streptophyta; Magnoliopsida; Fabales; Fabaceae. The record is from RNAcentral.
AUUUAAUAAAUAUUUUACAUUUAUUAACAAAAAUAUACAAAUUAGUAUUUUACAAUCCAAAUUUAAAUGUAUAAUAAUUGAAUUGCAACAACUCAUUUUUUUUCUUUCUGGCAACACAUUACAACAUUACAGCCUGUAAAGCAACUCAUCAAUCCUCAGCCAAGCCUCACCCAAGUCAUUUCAGACACCAUUUCUUCCUUACGCUUCCUUCUUCACACACAUCAACACAAUCUCCUGCCAAAAAAACAACUUUUAUUAUCAAAAUCCUUUGUAAACAUGAUAGAAACCAGCAGAGUUUACUUUUAACAUUUGUGUAAUAAAGGACAGAAAAAAUUAUUUCCCUAAUAGUACAUUGCUUAAAAUUUGUUGCAAAACCAAUGAAAAAUCCAGCUAAAAUUAGUGCGAAACAAUACAAGAUCCAGAACUCGUUUUAUCUAAUAAACAAAAACAUUCACUGGUUUACCUGUAAAUUGAUGAAAAAAUCAAGAAAAGAAGGACGAAAAAAAUAAACACAAAACAGAGGUUCUAAAUUCUGAAAUAGAGGGGAGAGGUUCUAAAUUUUGAAAUAGAGUUAUCACUGUUAUCCAAACAAACAGAGGAACAAUUUGAAGAAGGAUUAAGAUAUUUUCGUUAUUUUUCAUUUGCAUUUCCUAAUAAUGAAAUUUAUUAUUGUUAUAGAUUUGAUUGAGAAGCAUUAGAAAGUUAGAAAAGAUAGGACUCGAACCUUGUUUGUCUUGGCCGCCAUUUUCUUUCUCCUGGAUGCGCCGCUCAUCCUUCAUGGUUGGUUAUGUCUGGUUUGUUUCCUC